UAGCUCAGUGGUAGAGCAUAUGCUUAGCAUGCACAAGGACCUGGGUUCAAUCCCCAG
RNAcentral lists this transfer RNA (57 nucleotides) under Camelus bactrianus (Bactrian camel). It matches the Rfam family "tRNA", at positions 8 to 63 of the family's 71-position model. From Rfam's summary of the family: Transfer RNA (tRNA) molecules are approximately 80 nucleotides in length. The record is from Rfam by way of RNAcentral. Lineage: Eukaryota; Metazoa; Chordata; Mammalia; Artiodactyla; Camelidae. RNAcentral also lists the same sequence under 3 other names.